Suricata suricatta (meerkat) is the source of this 2093-nucleotide long non-coding RNA. RefSeq lists it as uncharacterized. The record is from RefSeq and is a predicted model, not a curated record. Lineage: Eukaryota; Metazoa; Chordata; Mammalia; Carnivora; Herpestidae. The transcript has 2 exons.
CUGAGCGGUCCUGGCAGUCGGCCUCGCCGUCGCAGCGCAGGCGCAGGUCCACGCACUGGCCCCGCGCACAGGGGAACUGGGCCGCCGAGCACACCGGGCAGCCCUCCUCGUCGCUCUGGUCGUCACACUCGGGGAAGCCGUCGCAGCGCCAGGCCCCUGCAUUAGGGGAAGAGGAUCAAGCGUGGAAGGAGAAAGAAAAGACAAAAUACAAAAAGAAACAGACAAGCCUGCUACUACUGGAGUUGCAGACUUCAGCACUCCUGCCUGAGAGCCGGCAGGCAGCCAGGAGGAGUACAGACGGCCUGAACACCACCGUCUGUCAACUGGAUCUAACUGACGUCUACGGAAGGCUUCCCCAGCAGGAGCAGAGGACACAUUCUUCUCAAGCUGACAUGGAACGCUCACCAAGAAAGAUCACAUGCUGGGUCAUAAUAUUAAAAGGACAGAAGUCAUACAAAGUAUGUUCUUUGACCACCGUGGAAUUAAACUAGAAGCCAGUAACAGACUGAUAGCUGGGAAAUGCCCAGAUAUUUUGAAAUUAAACAGCCCACAUCUAAAUAACUCAGGGGCCAAAGGAAUUGUCUUAGGAGAAAUUUUAAAACAUUUGAACAAACCGAAAAAGAUAUAACUUAUCAAAAUUUGUAGGAUGCAGCAAAAGCAGUACUUCGAGGGAAAUUCAUAGCCCCGAAUGCAUACCCUGGAACAGGAAGGCAAAUGCAAGGAGAGGUGGCCCCGGAGAAUGGAUGCCACAUGAGUGUGAUUAUAGAAGGAUGCUGGGCAGAGACCUGGCGGGCAGGGAAUCAAAUCCCUGUCCAGUGUCCCAAGAGAAAGUGCUGAGGUCACACCUACCGCCACAGGUCAGCAGGUUCUGCAGGAGCACGAGGUGGACUGGGCAUGAGCACCGUGGUGUCCCGUCACCCUUGGCAAUGCAGAUAUGGGAGCAGCCGCCGUUAUCCCUGGCACACGGGUGGGCCGCUGCGGAGACAAAAAGAGAGAGGGUGUCAGGCUCAGCCUCUCACCUCAGGACUGCAGCCCCGAGGGUUCUAGAGACAAGAGCCAGGCAAGAACUCACAGGAAUGGUCACUCCUAUAGGCCAGGCCCCUGCAGAUCAUCCUACUUAAAUCCCAGGGCAGCCGACAGAGUCUACUUCCAUGAACGCACAUGUUACAGACAGGAAAAUGGAGGCUGAAGCACCCACAGAAUUGGCCCAACAUCACACCCUAGCCCAUCUACACAGUUCCCACGAUGCCCACAACUACCACUCCACACUGCCUGUCUCUCAUGGUGUAGUGCCCCCUCUCCAAAACAUGUCCGUGUCCUAAUGCCUGAAAACCUGUGAAUGUGACUUUAUUUUGAAAAGGGGUCUUCACGGAUGUAGUCAAACUAAGGCUCUGGAGAGGAGGUCAUCCUGGGUUUUCUGGGUGGCCCUAAAUCCAACAGCAGGUGUCCUUGUAGGAGCCCCAGAAGAGGUGAAGACACAGACGCGGGGGAGAAGUCCGUGUGAGGACAGAGGCAGAGCCUGGAGCCACGUGGACCCAAAGCACCUGCAGUCGCCGCAAAGUAAAGGAGGCGACAAGCCGUCCCCCCACAGCCCCCAGAGCGGGCCGCAGGCUCCCUGACAUCUUGACCUUGGACGUCUGGCCACUGGACUGGAGGAGAACAUGCUUCUGUUGUGUUAAGUCCCCCAGUUUGUGAUGACUUGUCAGACUUGUCCCGGCAAUCACUGGAAGCGGAUACAUGAGGGUUAAACAGCAGGACACCAGGGAACCUUGGUUUUCAGUUCAAUUAACCGAAUUAACCCACACCUGAACAGCAGGAAGACGCCUAGGAGGAAAAGAGAGAAAGCACGAACCCCAGCCCCACAGAAAGACAGUGUCCUGCCUCAGCCUCGGGGGUUAAGAGUUUAGUGACAGAAGUCACGGUUUAGAGCAGGGGUCAGCAAACUCUUUCUAUAAACAAGAAAGUAAACGGUUUUGGCUUGAUGGGCCAGACCACCUGUCACAAGCCUGCCGGCCAUCAACAAGGGUGGCCAUGGAUGAUGCACAAACCAAUGGGUGUGGCUGUGUGCCAAUAAAACUUUAUGUAUAAGAACA